ACAUUUGGCGCCAUCUGUCAGAUUAUAAUAAACACUACGAGAACUAGUAGAAAAGCAAUAAAACUAAUUGUUAUGUAUACAUUUAUUUUUCUCUUUUAAAAUAAAUAAAUGUGAAGUCGUCAGCAGAAAUGCUUUCAAAUGAGGUCGACGUUUUAUGACGCUAAACGUGUUUUUGUGUGACGUUAAAUAACUGCACUUGAUUAGUUGAAAUUCAUUCAGGUGAACUGAAACAUAUAUAACUUGUGAUCUUGGUAACUAGUUCAGACGAAAAAGGCACUGACCCCUCGCGAAGUUAUCGCUUAUAAUGUAAACAACGUUUUUAAAGUUUGUUGAGUGUAACAAUUGCUUUGUUGUUGAAAUUGAAAUACUCAUUGGGGUUAAACGAGCGUAGAGUAACAAUACGAUGUUGAAAUUUACUGUCAAAGUUGGAUAGAUUUGCGCUGAUUAACAAUGGAACAAACUGCUAUUGAUUGACAUGGAGGAUUUCUAAAUUAAGGAGUUGAUAUUCCGCAUCAGGUGAACAGAUACUUCAUGAAUUAUAUGAAUCACCAGGGAAAGGACCCAACUACUUGCACAGAUGCAUCCUGGCGGGUGAAAGAAGGGAUGAUCACUUUGGCAACAGAUUGUUCAACUGCUUAAAUGUUGAUGUGGAC
Dreissena polymorpha is the source of this 653-nucleotide long non-coding RNA. RefSeq lists it as uncharacterized. Lineage: Eukaryota; Metazoa; Mollusca; Bivalvia; Myida; Dreissenidae. The transcript has 3 exons. The record is from RefSeq and is a predicted model, not a curated record.